GCCGAGAUCCCGCCAUUCAUUGCACUCCAGCCUCGGAAACUAGCAAAACUCCAUCUUAAAAAAAAAGAGGAGGCCGGGUGCAGUGGCUCUGCACAACACUUUGGGAGGCCGAGGCAGGUGGAUCACCUGAGGUCAGAAAUCCGAGACCAGCCUGGCCAACAUGGUGGAACCCCAUCUCUACUAAAAAUGCAAAAAGUAGCCGGGCGUGGUAGCGGGCCCCAGUAAUCCCAGCUGAGGUGGGAGAAUUGCUUGAACCCGGGAGGCCAAGGCUGCAGUGAGCCAAGAUCGCACCACUGCACUCUAGCGUGGGUGACAGAUCAAGACCUUGUCUCAAAAAACAAGAAGAAGAAAAACUACUUUUUUUUUUUCAGAUGGGGUCUCACUCUCACCCAGUCUGGAGUGCAGUGGCGCCAUCUCAGCUCAUUGCAGCCUCUGCCUCCUGGGCUUGAGUGAUCUUCCCACCUCGACCUCCUGAGUAGCUGAACCACAAGUGCAUGCCUGGCCAAUUUUUGUAUUUUUGGUAGAAAUGGAGUUUCACCAUGUUGCCCAGGCUGGUCUCAAAACUGGCCUCCCAAAGUGCUGGGAUUACAGACACAACUGGCCUACCUGCAGGAUUUUCAGUUUAUGGACAUGACUGACUGGAGACAUGGAGAAGCUGUUGUUAUUGGAGAUUUUUAUUACUCGCAUUUCCUGAGCGAUGGGGACACUCACUGUGGGGAAAAGCAAGAGAGAUCAGAUUGUUACUGUGUCUGUGUAGAAAGAAGUAGACAUAGGAGACUCCAUUUUGUUCUGUACUAAGAAAAAUUCUUCUGCCUUGGGAUCCUGUUGAUCUGUGACCUUACCCCCAACCCCGUGCUCUCUGAAACAUGUGCUACGUCCACUCAGGGUUAAAUGGAUUAAGGGCGGUGCAAGAUGUGCUUUGUUAAACAGAUGCUUGAAGGCAGCACGCUCCUUAAGAGUCAUCACCACUCCCUAAUCUCAAGUACCCAGGGACACAGAAACUGCGGAAGGCCGCAGGGUCCUCUGCCUAGGAAAGCCAGGUAUUGUCCAAGGUUUCUCCCCAUGUGAUAGUCUGAAAUAUGGCCUCGUGGGAAGGGAAAGACCUGACCGUCCCCCAGCCCGACACCCGUAAAGGGUCUGUGCUGAGGAGGAUUAGUAUAAGAGGAAGGAAUGCCUCUUGCAGUUGAGACAAGAGGAAGGCAUCUGUCUCCUGCCUGUCCCUGGGCAAUGGAAUGUCUCAGUAUAAAACCCGAUUGUAUGUUCCAUCUACUGAGAUGGGGAAAAACCGCCUUAGGGCUGGAGGUGGGACCCGCGGGCAGCAAUACUGCUUUGUAAAGCAUUGAGAUGUUUAUGUGUAUGCAUAUCUAAAGCACAGCACUUAAUCCUUUACAUUGUCUAUGAUGCAAAGACCUUUGUUCACGUGUUUGUCUGCUGACCCUCUCCCCACAAUUGUCUUGUGACCGUGACACAUCCCCCUCUUUGAGAAACACCCACAAAUGAUCAAUAAAUACUAAGGGAACGCA
This 1523-nucleotide long non-coding RNA is filed under the name Homo sapiens (human). RNAcentral describes it as "MRPL20 divergent transcript". The record is from RNAcentral. Lineage: Eukaryota; Metazoa; Chordata; Mammalia; Primates; Hominidae.